This is a long non-coding RNA of Vespa velutina, 1014 nucleotides long. RefSeq lists it as uncharacterized. The transcript is spliced from 2 exons. The record is from RefSeq and is a predicted model, not a curated record. Lineage: Eukaryota; Metazoa; Arthropoda; Insecta; Hymenoptera; Vespidae.
AAGAAAAAAGAAAGUAGCAAAGACCUGUGAGAAAAGACGAGAGAGAGAGAGAGAGAGAGAGAGAGAGAGAGAGAGAGAAAGAGUGAGAGGGGGAGAGAGAGAGAGAGAGAGAGAGAGAGAAUAUCAUUUCACAGAUUAAACACGCGCCCGAGUAUCGUCUUUUAUAAGACUAGAAAAAAAAAAAAAAAAAAAAAAAAAAAUCAACGUGCUGCCUUUCAAAUGAAAUAAUUAAAAAACAAUGGGAGGUAUAAAAGGAAAUGAUGGUUGGGAUGUAAGAUGGUGGUGAUGAUGUUGAGACAGAAAGAAAAACAAAAGGAAUGUUGCAAUUGAAUGAAUUUAUACCGCUAAUUUCCGAGGAUUUCAAAACAAAUAAUAAAGUUCAGAUCAUUAGGCGGCCCAUAACGUCGUACCCACGUAGCUAUGCGAGAGCGUAAAAGGAUUAAAAAUAAUAAUAAUAAAAAAGAAUAAAAAAAAAAAAAAAAAAAAAAAAAAAAAAAAAAAAAAAAAAAAAAAAAAAAAAAAAACUAAAAGGAAGACGAGAACGAGACGAAAAAAGAAAAAAACGAAAAAAAAAAAAACAAAAACAAAGAAAGCAAAAAAAGGAAAGAAUCGGAAAAAGGAUCGACGAAAAAAAAUGUCUUCGAAAUCCAUUGAGAAAUUAUGAAGAGGAGAAAGAAUUUAAGGAGAAGGUAAACACAAAAACAAAAAAAGAAACGAACAAAUCAAUAAACAAACAAACAAACAAACAAAGAAACAAUUAAUAAAUCGAUAAAUUUAUUAAUACGACGAUUAGGUAUCAUUAUGAUCGUGGAUGGUGUGUGUGUGAGAGAUCAUAUGAUUAAAUAUUAUAUACUCUCGAGUGAUCUUUCCGUUUUGUUGUAUCCUACAUAGGGAUUUUUGUUUAACCAAAUGUACAAAUAUAACAGUACGUAAGAAGAAGAGAGAAAGUAUGAGUAUGAGAAUGAGAGAGAGAGAGAGAGAGAGAGAGAGAGAGAGAGAGAGAGAGAGAGAGAG